Molecule: ribosomal RNA, 253 nt
Filed under: uncultured bacterium
Lineage: Bacteria
Description: partial 16S ribosomal RNA
Rfam family: Bacterial small subunit ribosomal RNA
Source: RNAcentral
UACGUAGGGUGCAAGCGUUGUCCGGAAUUAUUGGGCGUAAAGAGCUUGUAGGCAGUCUGUCGCGUCUGCUGUGAAAAUCCGGGGCUCAACCCCGGACUUGCAGUGGGUACGGGCAGACUAGAGUGUGGUAGGGGAGACUGGAAUUCCUGGUGUAGCGGUGAAAUGCGCAGAUAUCAGGAGGAACACCGAUUGCGAAGGCAGCUCGCUGGGACGUUACUGACGCUGAGACGCGAAAGCGUGGGGAGCAAACAGG